Scophthalmus maximus (turbot) is the source of this 978-nucleotide long non-coding RNA. RefSeq lists it as uncharacterized. Lineage: Eukaryota; Metazoa; Chordata; Actinopteri; Pleuronectiformes; Scophthalmidae. The transcript is spliced from 3 exons. The record is from RefSeq and is a predicted model, not a curated record.
GGCGCCGGAGGAGCGGCGGAGGAUGACACGGUCACCCGGCUGAGGAGGGAGCUCGCCUCCCCGCCUUCCGAGUCCACACCGCCCGCGGCGCCUCCCGAGCCGGCCCCGGACGAGUCGGCCCCCUUCGACUCCAGAGAGUCCUCCGGUAAUCCCGCUUCGCGACGCAGAAUUUCGACGGACUCGGUCUUUGUACUGUGGGAGGAAGCCGGAGAACCUACGCAGACACGAUAGGGGAAAGUUGCCAGAGGCUAUGACGACACCCACAGAUGUCUUGCUUUGUCCGAUCAGCAAUCGAAAACCUGAAGACGUUCAGUUUGUCCUAAGGGAAACAGUAAGAGUAAGAAAACAUUUAAUGUCUACAUGUGAAACAUUUUUGCUAUCUUUAAUCCAACGGGUCCAAAUUUGGUUUUAGUUCCGACCCAGGUCUAGUCUCUUUUAGCGACAGAUGAGCACCCCUUUUUAAAAACAGUUGUAUUAAAUGUAAUACACACUUACAGAGACAUAUAAGUGAAAUCAAAUGAGUUUUGCAGUGAUAAACCUCUCAUGGAACAGCUGUGUCAAUGUCUGUCUGACCAUGUCCCGACCAUGCCUGUAACUUUGCUCUGGUUCUCUUUAUCAGGAUUAAAUUUGGCACGGAUAAUGUUCAGAUGUUCUAUGUAUUUCAAGAGAAAAAGGGUCUCAUCUGCAUUAUUACAUAGGGGAUAUUCACUCAGAAUUUUUUUUUCCAUUUCCAUUUACUCUGUCCCAGUAACAUUUAUGCUAAUGUUUACACCUCUGCUGAAAUCAGAAGUGUUACCUUUAUUAUAGAUACCAAGAUUAUUCAUAUAGACCUUGUAGAUAUACUCUUUUCAUUUUGGGCAUGUCAUUUUCGAGCAGGGACCUGUGAAAAUCUGUUUGAUUAUUUUUUUUAAAUUUCCCCUUAACUGACUAAUUGAAUAAUCUGUGAAUUUUUAAAUGAAAAUAAACAGUGACAAAUAA